RNAcentral lists this long non-coding RNA (300 nucleotides) under Neodiprion pinetum (white pine sawfly). RNAcentral describes it as "uncharacterized LOC124220320". Lineage: Eukaryota; Metazoa; Arthropoda; Insecta; Hymenoptera; Diprionidae. The record is from RNAcentral.
CGAUCGAUAACAAUCUCAAGCUCGAGACGGACGGAAGAGCUCGUUACUCAACGUAUCACAGCCGAGUCACUCUACCCCCAAGAAUUGGAAGGCCGAAUUAUGCGGAACACCGAAACGACGCGUCUGGACUUCGGUUCUCCAAAGAGAACCUGAUCUGCACCUCUGAUGAAUUUCUGCGGUAAAGGUCGUCUAGUCAUUGUCCUGCAGUCUUAGCGCACAUGGAUAUCGUACCUACCCAGAUGAAGCUUUGGAGGUCAGUGGACUGAGUGAAGGUUCAAAAAUGGUAACUGCACAUUUGCA